RNAcentral lists this ribosomal RNA (487 nucleotides) under uncultured bacterium. RNAcentral describes it as "bacterial SSU rRNA". It matches the Rfam family "Bacterial small subunit ribosomal RNA", at positions 28 to 536 of the family's 1533-position model. The record is from RNAcentral.
GAUGAACGCUGGCGGCGUGCUUAAUACAUGCAAGUCGAACGGAGACAAUAGCAAUAUUGUCUUAGUGGCGAACGGGUGAGUAACGCGUUGGUGACCUGCCCCGAAGAGGGGGAUAACAGUCCGAAAGGAUUGCUAAUACCCCAUGUGGUCAUAUGGAUUAGAUGCCUAAUGACUAAACGGAUUUAUUCGCUUCGGGAGGGGCCUGCGUCCCAUCAGCUAGUUGGUAAGGUAAUGGCUUACCAAGGCGAUGACGGGUAGGGGACCUGAGAGGGUGGCCCCCCACAAUGGAACUGAAACACGGUCCAUACACCUACGGGUGGCAGCAGUAGGGAAUAUUGGUAAUCUGGGAAACCGGGAACCAGCAACGCCGCGUGCACGAUGAAGGCCUUCGGGUCGUAAAGUGCUUUUUGAAGGGAUGAGGAAGGACAGUACCUUCAGAAUAAGCCUCGGCUAACUACGUGCCAGCAGCGCGGUAAACUAGUCUACG